UAUGCGGGGAUAAAGUGAGUCACGUGUGGCUUAUUGCAGGUACCGCAUGAAUAAGGACCGGCUAAUUCCGUGCCAGCAGCCGCGGUAAUACGGAAGGUCCGGGCGUUAUCCGGAUUUAUUGGGUUUAAAGGGAGCGUAGGCCGUCUGAUAAGCGUGUUGUGAAAUGUCGGGGCUCAACCUGGGCAUUGCAGCGCGAACUGUGAGACUUGAGUGCGCGGGAAGUAGGCGGAAUUCGUCGUGUAGCGGUGAAAUGCUUAGAUAUGACGAAGAACUCCGAUUGCGAAGGCAGCCUGCUGUAGCGCAACUGACGCUGAAGCUCGAAAGCGUGGGUAUCGAACAGGAUUAGAUACCCUGGUAGUCCACGCGGUAAACGAUGGAUGCUCGCUGUUUGCGUCUGACGUAAGCGGCCAAGCGAAAGCGUUAAGCAUCCCACCUGGGGAGUACGCCGGCAACGGUGCAACUCAAAUGAAUUGACGGA
RNAcentral lists this ribosomal RNA (478 nucleotides) under uncultured organism. Its description in RNAcentral is "bacterial SSU rRNA". It matches the Rfam family "Bacterial small subunit ribosomal RNA", at positions 434 to 917 of the family's 1533-position model. The record is from RNAcentral.